This 495-nucleotide ribosomal RNA is filed under the name uncultured bacterium. RNAcentral's name for it is "partial 16S ribosomal RNA". It matches the Rfam family "Bacterial small subunit ribosomal RNA", at positions 28 to 505 of the family's 1533-position model. The record is from RNAcentral.
GAUGAACGCUGGCGGCGUGCCUAAUACAUGCAAGUCGAGCGAACAGACGAGGAGCUUGCUCCUCUGACGUUAGCGGCGGACGGGUGAGUAACACGUGGAUAACCUACCUAUAAGACUGGGAUAACUUCGGGAAACCGGAGCUAAUACCGGAUAAUAUAUUGAACCGCAUGGUUCAAUAGUGAAAGACGGUCUUGCUGUCACUUAUAGAUGGAUCCGCGCCGCAUUAGCUAGUUGGUAAGGUAACGGCUUACCAAGGCAACGAUGCGUAGCCGACCUGAGAGAGUGAUAGGCCACACUGGAAGUGAGACACGGUCCAGACUCCUACGGGAGGCAGCAGUAGGGAAUCUUCCGCAAUGGGCGAAAGCCUGACGGAGCAACGCCGCGUGAGUGAUGAAGGUCUUCGGAUCGUAAAACUCUGUUAUUAGGGAAGAACAAAUGUGUAAGUACCUAUGCACGUCUUGACGGUACCUAAUCAGAAAGCCACGGCUAACUACG